UACGAACUGUGCAAACGUUAUUCGGAUUCACUGGGAUUAAAGGGUGCGUAGGCGGCCAUGUAAGUAGGGUGUGAAAUCCCCCGGCUUAACCGGGGAACUGCGCCCUAAACUGUGUGGCUUGAGUGAGAUAGGGGUGUGUGGAACUUCCGGUGGAGCGGUGAAAUGUGUUGAUAUCGGAAGGAACGCCGGUGGCGAAAGCGACACACUGGGUCUCAACUGACGCUGAGGCACGAAAGCCAGGGGAGCGAACGGG
Molecule: ribosomal RNA, 253 nt
Filed under: uncultured bacterium
Lineage: Bacteria
Description: partial 16S ribosomal RNA
Rfam family: Bacterial small subunit ribosomal RNA
Source: RNAcentral